GACGAACGCUGGCGGCGUGCUUAGCACAUGCAAGUCGAACGGAAAGGCCUGUCCUUCCUUGUGUUGGACGGGUGCUCGAGUGGCGAACGGGUGAGUAACACGUGAGUGAUCUGCCCCCAACUUGGGUAUAAGCCUGGGAAACUGGGUCUAAUUCCCGAUAGGACUGCAGGGUGGUGCCUGUGGUGGAAAACGAUUUUCUAGUGGUUGGGGAUGAGCUCGCGGCCUAUCAGCUUGUUGGUGGGGUAAUGGCCUACCAAGGCGGCGACGGGUAGCCGGCCUGAGAGGGUGGACGGCCACAUUGGGACUGAGAUACGGCCCAGACUCCUACGGGAGGCAGCAGUGGGGAAUAUUGCACAAUGGGCGGAAGCCUGAUGCGGCGACGCCGCGUGGGGGAUGACGGCCUUCGGGUUGUAAACUCCUUUCGACCGCGAGGAAGCCGCCUGGUUGGAAGGGUGGUGACGGUAGUGGUAGAAGAAGCACCGGCUAACUACGUG
This 494-nucleotide ribosomal RNA is filed under the name uncultured bacterium. Its description in RNAcentral is "partial 16S ribosomal RNA". It matches the Rfam family "Bacterial small subunit ribosomal RNA", at positions 28 to 507 of the family's 1533-position model. The record is from RNAcentral.